GACUGUGUGACCAUUUUUCAAAGCAGAUGCAGAUACGACAGAAUCCAAAUGAAUCACUCUGUUCUGAUCGGCAGCUCAACUUCAUUUAGUUAGUUUUUAGUUUCAAUAUGAAUAUCACAGCAUGGUUGGAGUGCUUCAUUUUUGAGCAAAUUCUGCCACCCAUUUUUGCAAUGCAAGUAGAUGUACAUGUCCUCUGGGUGGCAGCAUGUUUAGAACGUGGAGUCUCCCAAGCCUCCAAGGGAAAACUGACACACAUGGAUCCAAUAUAGGCAAACCUUAGUAGAAGUAGACGACAUGGAGCCAUCCUUCGUUCAGAGGAGGAAGUAAGACAGUUAUCAUCAGCUCCAUGUAAAACACUUUUCAUUUUUCGUUGUGAUUGUCACUGUAUAAGGAACCACUAUGAUCAGGUUUUCUGUUCUAGUCUGCCUAUCAGUGCUGCUGUUUAGCACUUCAGCCAAGCCAUACAGGCCCAGGGAAAAAGAGUUGGGCAAAGCAGUCCAGGACACUAUAGUUUUUGAUCAUCCCAGUGGGAAGAUGAUCCUGGGAAUGAAGGAGGUGGAGCCACCACAGGACAUGGACAUUGCAGAUUUUGACAAUGAUCCCAACAUGUUGAUUUGGAAAGUUGUAAAAGAAGAAAUACAGCAGAAAUAUGACAGACCUGAAGAGGAUGAAGAUGCUUUCUACCACUCCUUUCACAUAAAACGUCCAGCUGAUGCAAAACAGCCUGAAAACUACUUUCAGUUAUUGGAACAUGAUCAGGUACGGAUGUAUGACAAACCAGAAGAAGACAGGGAUGAUCUAUACCACGGUAUGUUUGAUGUAGCUGAAGAGCCAAUGAGAGGAGAGAAGGAUGUAAUUGGAGGUAAUGGCAGGCCCAUGUACUUAAGCCCUGAAGUGGACAAAGACGGCCUGUACCACGCAGAUGUUAAAGAACAUCAGUCUGACCAGCAGGCUCUCCCGAUAAAUAUAUUCCCUAUUCGCCCUAAAAGGGUGCACGCAGAGCCAGAGGUAGACCUGGAUGACCUUUAUCAUAAGCAAUGA
This is a long non-coding RNA of Cyprinus carpio (common carp), 1041 nucleotides long. NCBI's taxonomy places the organism in Eukaryota, Metazoa, Chordata, Actinopteri, Cypriniformes, Cyprinidae. The record is from Ensembl.